Long non-coding RNA from Physella acuta, 775 nucleotides. RefSeq lists it as uncharacterized. Lineage: Eukaryota; Metazoa; Mollusca; Gastropoda; Physidae. The record is from RefSeq and is a predicted model, not a curated record.
GAAGGGUUUAGCAGUUCCAAAUACAAAAUAUGGAGAUAAAUUUAUUUUUCAUUUUACCUCAUCUAAGGAUAUGUUUUAUCUGAAUUUCCUGUGUAAAAGUGGUGUUGCUUUCCACUUUGAUAUCAUAUACAAUUACGGAGUGUAUAAAAACGUUGUCAGUGUCCACGCUAAAAAAACAGGUGGCUGGAAAACCAAUUUAUUCAGUGACGACUUUCCUUUCGGAAAAAAUAGUGAGGAUAUUAUGGUUUGGACCAUCCAACCACCGGAUAUCGAGAUAAAAGUGAAUAAUGAUGUGGAAUAUUUUAUAGAAAGCCGUGAAAACUGUUACGAUAAAUUGUACUGGAACGGCACUGGCAACAUAAUUUCCAUUUUUAUGACUUAGAUUGUAGAAACCUGAAUGCACACAAUUUGCAAAUGCUUAUCAAACUAAAUUUUAUGACACUAUGAUUUAGCUUAAUGUGACCUAAAAAUAAAAAUAAAAUAUACACUAUUGAUAAAUAUUUAAAUUAUAAGCAAUUGACUAAAGUAUUGAAUUAAGGAAAAAGGAGACAUUUUAAACUCUUAAUGUAAUGUUAUGUAUUUCAGAUUUGGAUUUUUUAAUCUUCGACUUUAUUACUAUUAUGUUUAUUUUUCUAAUCCUUUUGUUUCGUCUAUCUUACUCUUUACGUCAAUGGUAAUAGAUUUCCGACUUUGGUGAUGUGGGUUUUUAAAAGUUUAUUGUUUUACAAUGCAUUAAAUAAAAUUAUUCACAUGCGAAUUUUAUAGUCUAUCUUCA